AGUGAACGCCGGCGGUAGGCCUAACACAUGCAAGUCGAACGGCAGCACAGUAAGAGCUUGCUCUUACGGGUGGCGAGUGGCGGACGGGUGAGGAAUACAUCGGAAUCUACUUUUUCGUGGGGGAUAACGUAGGGAAACUGACGCUAAUACCGCAUACGACCUACGGGUGAAAGCAGGGGAUCUUCGGACCUUGCGCGAUUGAAUGAGCCGAUGUCGGAUUAGCUAGUUGGCGGGGUAAAGGCCCACCAAGGCGACGAUCCGUAGCUGGUCUGAGAGGAUGAUCAGCCACACUGGAACUGAGACACGGUCCAGACUCCUACGGGAGGCAGCAGUGGGGAAUAUUGGACAAUGGGCGCAAGCCUGCUCCAGCCAUACCGCGUGGGUGAAGAAGGCCUUCGGGUUGUGAAGCCCUUUUGUUGGGAAAGAAAAGCAGCAGGUUAAUACCCCGCUGUUCUGACGGUACCCAAAGAAUAAGCACCGGCUAACUUCGUG
Molecule: ribosomal RNA, 492 nt
Filed under: uncultured bacterium
Lineage: Bacteria
Description: partial 16S ribosomal RNA
Rfam family: Bacterial small subunit ribosomal RNA
Source: RNAcentral